RNAcentral lists this transfer RNA (92 nucleotides) under Propionibacteriaceae bacterium. RNAcentral describes it as "tRNA-Ser". It matches the Rfam family "tRNA". From Rfam's summary of the family: Transfer RNA (tRNA) molecules are approximately 80 nucleotides in length. The record is from RNAcentral. Lineage: Bacteria; Bacillati; Actinomycetota; Actinomycetes; Propionibacteriales; Propionibacteriaceae.
GGAGGUGUCGCCUAGUUAGGUCUAUGGCGCCCGCCUGCUAAGCGGGUUGAGGGCUUAAUACCCUCUCGUGGGUUCAAAUCCCACCACCUCCG